RNAcentral lists this long non-coding RNA (831 nucleotides) under Betta splendens (Siamese fighting fish). Its description in RNAcentral is "lncRNA (ENSBSLG00000007841.1)". The record is from RNAcentral. Lineage: Eukaryota; Metazoa; Chordata; Actinopteri; Anabantiformes; Osphronemidae.
GAAACAUACAGCAAUUGUACUGUGUGAAAAAAAGAGUUCAUAUUUUAUCAGACGGUCACAAAAUAGAAACAGUAUUUGUUGUUGCUAGAAAGUUUCCAACUGUUCUGAGACCAGUCAGAUGUUAGUGUAGAUAUGAGCUGAUUCCUAGAAGUGAGACUUUCUGCAGCAACAUUAUGGACUGAAGUUUGAACACACCAUAGUUUUACAUUACUGAGCUGUGAGGCUGAGAAUGAUUGGGUGAAUUCAUGAUGAUGUAUCUGGGUGGAGACUUCCUGAGAAGAGGAUAAAGUAGAGGGGAAACACUUUGUCUGAUCACAUUUCUACAUAACGUCUGUGCUUCUCUGGGUUUAAGAUGCAGCUUCGUGGAAUCCUGACCGUCCUGUUUAUGAGUCUGUGCACAGCUCAUGGAUUAAGAUGCUUUUCAUGUAUAACCACCGACCCUAGUACCUGCACAGGCACAAUCACUUGUCCAGCUGGAUUCAACUGCUGUUCCUCCCUCACUUUGUUUGGUAUCCUCAGUAAGGGCUGUUACGUUGAUGCACUGUGUUUAUCUCCAAUGAAAUGCUGUUCAUGGGACUUGUGUAAUGCUUUCCUACAUACUGGUCCCAAUGCAAAAGAAACAGAACUGAACAAGAACAAACAGCUGAUCUGACUAAUGAAACUACACAAUAAAAAGGUCUUGUACCACCGGUCUGACAUGAGGACAGCUUCCUGCAAGAGCCCCAUUGAUUUCAGCUGUGACAGAGGAACAUUGUUUCGUUUAACUUUAUACUCGACUGUAAAAAUUGGGAUGACAAUAAAAAACAUAAAACAUUGUUGGUUUAUUUCUUA